CUCCAUCUCCUGAACCUCCCCGUUGAAGUGAUGGGCUAAUUCCACACCCAUAAGGCUAAUUUUUGCGUAGAUAAUCACUCUUUGUUGUCUGGUUUGGCAAAGAGCUGCGCUAGUUGAGCGAUUAAACUAGCUUAAACGUUUGAGGCUUGAGUUCGAACUAAGGUACUGGAGAAAGGCGGCUGGCUCUUCUUCUUCUUGCGGAGGUUGUAGGCCGCACCGCGAAGAAGAAUAGCAAACGAGGGUUUUGAGGAACG
RNAcentral lists this unclassified non-coding RNA (254 nucleotides) under Hevea brasiliensis (rubber tree). The record is from RNAcentral. Lineage: Eukaryota; Viridiplantae; Streptophyta; Magnoliopsida; Malpighiales; Euphorbiaceae.